RNAcentral lists this ribosomal RNA (137 nucleotides) under Parabacteroides sp. 2_1_7. RNAcentral's name for it is "partial 16S ribosomal RNA". The record is from RNAcentral. Lineage: Bacteria; Pseudomonadati; Bacteroidota; Bacteroidia; Bacteroidales; Tannerellaceae.
GGGUCAACGGUUCGAAUCCGUUAUUCUCCACACAUCCCGCGAGGGAAAGAGGAUCUUUGACAUGUUGGACAUCAAAAAGAAGAAACAAGUAGAGCGAGCUUAAGAUAUAUCAACCCGUGCGUCAAGUACGAGGUGAG